Long non-coding RNA from Mus musculus (house mouse), 1860 nucleotides. RefSeq annotates it as predicted gene, 41350. The record is from RefSeq and is a predicted model, not a curated record. The transcript has 5 exons. Lineage: Eukaryota; Metazoa; Chordata; Mammalia; Rodentia; Muridae.
AUGGGCAGUGCUAACCCAGAGUACGAAUGCUAUUUUACCAUUUUCCAGAGUAAUUCUGAGAUAAAGAGGGAAACGUUGCGUAGCGCCCACAGCAGCUGCGGUGAGCAGCAGCAUGGAACACACCCACAGCUGCCGCGCCCGAAGCGGGCAGCACGUUUUAAAAUAAAGACAGCCUGCCUGGCCCGGGAUGCACAGCCUGCCGGCUCGCAGCCCCCACCCACCCCACGCCUGCCAAACAGCAGGCGCCCAGGGAGUUCCAAGUCUGAAAGGCCGGGGAGAGGACCACCCGAGCCUGCCGCAGAGGCCCUGCCGCGAAGCCAGGGCGCACCACGCGCAAGCAAGCCACGACCCGACCCAGAGACGCCCACCGACUGCCGGGCAUCGCGGACAAAGCCUAGCCCGCAAGAUCCUCGUUCGGCAAGCACUAUCUCUCACCACCCCCAAACGGACCGGAGCCCAGUGCACAGAAAGGGCACAAGCACACCACCGGCUCUGGGCCUGGACACAGAACGCACGCACACCUGUCCUCGGGCUGACUACACACACCUGUCUGCAGGCCGGGCACCCUCACAUCUCACACCCACCAUCAGGUCCACCCCAACCCCAACCACCUCAAGCAAAGGGCUCGCACACAACUAUCUUGGCCAGGGACACACACGCACUCACGCCCAUCCAAAGGCCGGGCACGCGUGCAGACCAUGGCACCCUCACACCCACCACCCUCGGGCCCCUGCUCUUACGCAAACCCGCCUUCACACUCCCUGGCCCUUGGCCGCGGCGUCCUCCUGCGGACCCUCCCCUACCGGGUCACCUGGGGCCCCGAUUUCUAGCACGACUGGACUGGGGGGCCUCCGCCUGGGCCAGGCCGUGGGGCCGCAGCGAGGCCUCUCCGCCAUCUUCCCGGCCCGCGCCGCCCACCUCCCGCGCUCUCACCAGCCGGCCCUGCGCCCGGAGCGCCGCCACUGCCCCUCAUCACCGACCGCACGCUGCGCCCCAGCUCCCGGCGGCUCCCGGCCGCCGUCGCCGCCGCAGCCAGCGCUUCACGUCCUGGGUCUCCGCCGCUGGUCCAGUGCGCUGCGGCCGCGCGUCCCCCGUCACCAAGCGCAACCCCCCGCCUCCGACUCCGCCCCCGCGAGGAUGGUGGCGCCGCCAGGGGGCGCCGCCCGCGAGGCUGCAAUGCGCCUGCGCCACCGCGCAGCCCCUCGGGAGCUCCGAGGGAGCCUUGCCUCUGUCGGAGGCCCCGCCCCCGAUGCCGCGCUAGCCGGCCGUUCCGCUCUCACCUGUACCCGCCCACUUCUGGAGGUCUGGGUCACCUCAGACAAAUAAAAUGGCCCAAAGCUCUUCCAGGACUGCACACAGCGUUCCAUCUGUAUCCAGACCAAGAGAGCUCAGAGCCUUCCACACCCCGCAGUGCUGCAGACCCAAGCCCUGGGGAUCUCCACUGUGCUCACACUUAGCACGUCCUUGCUGAGUCAUCCUGGGCUCUGCUCUUAGUAAGCUGACUUGGAUGAAGGAAGACCGUCUCCUCCCUGCGGCUGAAGAAACAUUACCAACAUGGCUGACUGGAUUCCUUUUGAGUGUUUUUUGUUUGUUUCAAUAUUUUUGAGAUGUUUGUUAUGUUUUAUGUGCUUGCCUGAACGAGUGUCUGUCCCUGUACCACACAUGCAGUGCCUGUGGAGGCCCAGAAGAGGUCAUCAGACACCCUAGGAUUGGAGUUGCAGACGGUUGUCAGCUGCCCUGUGGGUGCUAGGAACUGAACCCAGGUCCUCUAGAGGAACAGUAAGUGCUCUUAACUGCUGAGCCAUCUCUCCAGCAAUGCCCACCGCUAACCCCUGCUGCCUCUCCCCCCCCCCCCCACUU